GACGAACGCUGGAGGCGUGCUUAACACAUGCAAGUCGAACGAUGAAAUGGAGCUUGCUCCAUGGAUUAGUGGCGAACGGGUGAGUAACACGUGAAUAACCUGCCCUUGAUUUUGGAAUAACCCAGGGAAACCUGAGCUAAUACCGGAUAAGUAAACCUGUGGCAUCACAUGGUUUUGGAAAGUUUUUCGAUUAAGGAUGGAUUCGCGGCCUAUCAGCUUGUUGGUGAGGUAAUGGCUCACCAAGGCGACGACGGGUAGCCGGCCUGAGAGGGGGAACGGCCACACUGGGACUGAGACACGGCCCAGACUCCUACGGGAGGCAGCAGUGGGGAAUAUUGCGCAAUGGACGAAAGUCUGACGCAGCGACGCCUCGUGAGGGACGAAGGUCUUCGGAUUGUAAACCUCUUUCAGCAGGGACGAAGCGAAAGUGACGGUACCUGCAGAAGAAGCACCGGCUAACUAUGUGCCAGCAGCCGCCGCGG
Molecule: ribosomal RNA, 482 nt
Filed under: uncultured bacterium
Lineage: Bacteria
Description: partial 16S ribosomal RNA
Rfam family: Bacterial small subunit ribosomal RNA
Source: RNAcentral